ACGAACGCUGGCGGCGUGCUUAACACAUGCAAGUCGAACGGAAAGGCCCUGCUUUUGUGGGGUGCUCGAGUGGCGAACGGGUGAGUAACACGUGAGUAACCUGCCCUUGACUUUGGGAUAACUUCAGGAAACUGGGGCUAAUACCGGAUAGGAGCUCCUGCUGCAUGGUGGGGGUUGGAAAGUUUCGGCGGUUGGAUGGACUCGCGGCUUAUCAGCUUGUUGGUGGGGUAGUGGCUUACCAAGGCUUUGACGGGUAGCCGGCCUGAGAGGGUGACCGGCCACAUUGGGACUGAGAUACGGCCCAGACUCCUACGGGAGGCAGCAGUGGGGAAUAUUGCACAAUGGGCGGAAGCCUGAUGCAGCAACGCCGCGUGCGGGAUGACGGCCUUCGGGUUGUAAACCGCUUUCGCCUGUGACGAAGCGUGAGUGACGGUAAUGGGUAAAGAAGCACCGGCUAACUACGUG
Molecule: ribosomal RNA, 465 nt
Filed under: uncultured bacterium
Lineage: Bacteria
Description: partial 16S ribosomal RNA
Rfam family: Bacterial small subunit ribosomal RNA
Source: RNAcentral